UGCCAGCCGCCGCGGUAAUACGGAGGGAGCUAGCGUUGUUCGGAAUUACUGGGCGUAAAGCGUGCGUAGGCGGAUCGACAAGUUGGGGGUGAAAUCCCGGGGCUUAACCCCAGGCUCGCAUUUGAAACUGAUGUUCUUGAAUAUGGUAGAGGUAGGCGGAAUUCCGGGUGUAGCGGUGGAAUGCGUAGAUAUCCGGAAGAACACCAAUUGCGAAGGCAGCCUACUGGGCCAUUAUUGACGCUGAGGCUCGAAAGCGUGGGGAGCGAACAGGAUUAGAUA
RNAcentral lists this ribosomal RNA (279 nucleotides) under uncultured bacterium. Its description in RNAcentral is "partial 16S ribosomal RNA". It matches the Rfam family "Bacterial small subunit ribosomal RNA", at positions 506 to 784 of the family's 1533-position model. The record is from RNAcentral.